GGGCGUCGAGUGCUUGCACUUCGCUGACGAGCGGCGGACGGGUGCGUAACACGUAGGAAUCUGCCUGGUAGUGGGGGAUAGCCCGGAGAAAUCCGGAUUAAUACCGCAUACGCCUUACGAGGGAAAGCAGGGGAUCUUCGGACCUUGCGCUAUCAGAUGAGCCUGCGUCGGAUUAGCUGGUUGGUGGGGUAAAGGCCUACCAAGGCGACGAUCCGUAGCUGGUCUGAGAGGAUGAUCAGCCACACUGGGACUGAGACACGGCCCAGACUCCUACGGGAGGCAGCAGUGGGGAAUAUUGCACAAUGGGCGAAAGCCUGAUGCAGCCAUGUCGCGUGUGUGAAGAAGGCCCUAGGGUUGUAAAGCACUUUCAGUGGGGAGGAAAGGUUGAAGGUUAAUACCCUUUGGCUGUGACGUUACCCACAGAAGAAGCACCGGCUAACUCCGUGCCAGCAGCCGCGGUAAUACGGAGGGUGCGAGCGUUAAUCGGAAUUACUGGGCGUAAAGCGUGCGUAGGCGGCUACCUAAGUUGGAUGUGAAAGCCCCGGGCUCAACCUGGGAACUGCAUCCAAAACUGGGUGGCUAGAGUACGGGAGAGGAGUGUGGAAUUUCCUGUGUAGCGGUGAAAUGCGUAGAUAUAGGAAGGAACACCA
Molecule: ribosomal RNA, 650 nt
Filed under: uncultured bacterium
Lineage: Bacteria
Description: bacterial SSU rRNA
Rfam family: Bacterial small subunit ribosomal RNA
Source: RNAcentral